RNAcentral lists this ribosomal RNA (519 nucleotides) under uncultured eukaryote. RNAcentral describes it as "SSU rRNA". It matches the Rfam family "Eukaryotic small subunit ribosomal RNA", at positions 1161 to 1698 of the family's 1831-position model. The record is from RNAcentral.
AGGGCACCACCAGGAGUGGAGCCUGCGGCUUAAUUUGACUCAACACGGGAAAACUCACCCGGCCCGGACACUGGAAGGAUUGACAGAUUGAGAGCUCUUUCUUGAUUCAGUGGGUGGUGGUGCAUGGCCGUUCUUAGUUGGUGGAGUGAUUUGUCUGGUUAAUUCCGAUAACGAACGAGACUCUAGCCUAUUAAAUAGAUCGUUGGCUUACAAACGCCGGCGAGACUUCUUAGAGGGACAGGCGGCGAUUCAGCCGCACGAAACAGAGCAAUAACAGGUCUGUGAUGCCCUUAGAUGUCCGGGGCCGCACGCGCGCUACACUGAAGUGAUCAGCGUGCAUUUUGAAACCUACUCUGUCAAGAGUGGGGAACCCUAUGAACCUUCUUCGUGAUUGGGAUAGGGGAUUGUAAUUAUUCCCCUUGAACGAGGAAUUCCCAGUAAGCGCGAAUCAUAAGUUUGCGCUGAUUACGUCCCUGCCCUUUGUACACACCGCCCGUCGCUACUACCGAUUGAAUGUUU